RNAcentral lists this ribosomal RNA (208 nucleotides) under uncultured bacterium. RNAcentral describes it as "partial 16S ribosomal RNA". It matches the Rfam family "Bacterial small subunit ribosomal RNA", at positions 568 to 775 of the family's 1533-position model. The record is from RNAcentral.
CUCGUAGGCGGCCAACUAAGUCGGACGUGAAAUCCCCAGGCUCAACCUGGGAACUGCGUCCGAUACUGGAUGGCUUGAAUUCGGGAGAGGGAUGCAGAAUUCCAGGUGUAGCGGUGAAAUGCGUAGAUAUCUGGAGGAAUACCGGUGGCGAAGGCGGCAUCCUGGACCGACAUUGACGCUGAUGAGCGAAAGCCAGGGGAGCAAACGG